CCCCCAUCCCAUCCCUCUAGGUCAUCACAGAGCACUGGGCUGAGCUCCCUGUGUUAUACAGCAACUUCCCUCUAGGGUGAGAAUCAUUCUCCUCACAUUUCCUGGUUGGGAAAUGAUUGAGAAAUACACACAGGCAUCAGGUGCCAAUUUUGGAAGACACAGUCAAAGGCAGCAACUACUUUCCCUUCUGCUCUUGUCAGCAGGGCUGACCACUAUGGGCAGACAGAUCUGAAUGAGAGAGCUAGAGAAGCCAGGCCUCACACAUGCAGUGACCCAUCCAGCUAUCUACCAGUUAGUGUCUAUUCAUCCAUAAACGGCUCACUUCAAGUUUAGAGCAUGAAUGCCAGUAACAGUGGAGACUAACAGCUUACUCUUUCCUGUUAGAAGAAAAAAGACAAUUGCCUCAAUCAUAGAGUAAAAGCCCUGAGAUUCAAACCAUGGCCUAUUGAAUUCAGGAGUCUGAGUGACUCAGGCCAAAACCAAGCACGGGGGCAAGAAGACUACGAUAACCUUAAAAUAUCAGGCCAAAAAGGGCCUACCUCGAGAUGGGACUAAGGAUGAGGCUAUGGCUCAUCCAAGCCACACAGCUGCUGCAUAACAAAGGAGUGGAACUGAGGUCAAAAGGACUUUCCCAGUGUAAGAAUCCACCUUCCAGUGCAGGGGAUGCACGUUGGAUCCCUGGUCUGGGAGCAAAGAUCCUGCAUGCCUCGGGGCAACUACACCCACGAGCCACAAAUACUGAGCCAGUGGGGUCCGAAGCAUGCAAGUUCCAACUAGAGGAUCCCACAUGCCACAUCUAAGAUGCGACACAGCCAAAUAAAUAACUAAAAAUGAUAAUAAUAAUUCUCAGGUCAGAACCAUAUGUCUUAUCAAAGAAAGUAGAAAGAGACAGAAGGACUUUUUUUUUUUUCAG
This is a long non-coding RNA of Bos taurus (domestic cattle), 913 nucleotides long. The record is from Ensembl. NCBI's taxonomy places the organism in Eukaryota, Metazoa, Chordata, Mammalia, Artiodactyla, Bovidae.